Molecule: ribosomal RNA, 725 nt
Filed under: Cercosporidium chaetomium
Lineage: Eukaryota; Fungi; Ascomycota; Dothideomycetes; Mycosphaerellales; Mycosphaerellaceae
Also listed under: 1 other name
Description: eukaryotic LSU rRNA
Rfam family: Eukaryotic large subunit ribosomal RNA
Source: RNAcentral
AAAUUUGAAAUCUGGCGCAAGCCCGAGUUGUAAUUUGUAGAGGAUGCUUCUGGCCAGCGGCCGUUCUAAGUUCCUUGGAACAGGACGUCAUAGAGGGUGAGAAUCCCGUAUGUGACCGGCGCGCAGCCUUUACGUAGCUCCUUCGACGAGUCGAGUUGUUUGGGAAUGCAGCUCUAAAUGGGAGGUAAAUUUCUUCUAAAGCUAAAUACCGGCCAGAGACCGAUAGCGCACAAGUAGAGUGAUCGAAAGAUGAAAAGCACUUUGGAAAGAGAGUUAAAAAGCACGUGAAAUUGUUGAAAGGGAAGCGCUUGCAACCAGACUUCGUAGCGAUGUUCCGCUGGUCUUUUGACCGGUCUACUCAUCGUCGCGAGGCCAACAUCGUCUGGGCCCGCUGGAUAAGACCUAAGGAAUGUAGCUUCCCUCGGGAAGUGUUAUAGCCUGUGGUGAUGCAGCGCGGCUCGGGCGAGGUCCGCGCUUCGGCAAGGAUGUUGGCGUAAUGGUUGUCAGCGGCCCGUCUUGAAACACGGACCAAGGAGUCUAACAUCUAUGCGAGUGUUCGGGUGUCAAACCCCUACGCGUAAUGAAAGUGAACGGAGGUGGGAAGCGCAAGCUGCACCAUCGACCGAUCCUGAUGUCCUCGGAUGGAUUUGAGUAAGAGCAUAGCUGUUGGGACCCGAAAGAUGGUGAACUAUGCCUGAAUAGGGUGAAGCCAGAGGAAACUCUGG